This is a long non-coding RNA of Oreochromis aureus, 1879 nucleotides long. The record is from Ensembl. Lineage: Eukaryota; Metazoa; Chordata; Actinopteri; Cichliformes; Cichlidae.
UAUUGAUCCAUCAUCUGUUCAUUGAUUGACACUUUGAUGAUGACUCCUGACAUGAUGAAGAUGGUUGAAUGUGUGCUGCUUUGUUUUCAUGAAUCCCAUUAAAAACACACUUACACUUCCUCAGACCUGGUCUCAACCAUCGGACUCCAGCAGGCUCCACCCUGAAAGGAGGAGGGGUCAGAGCAGCACAGUCAGCAUGCACACAUGGACAUUACAUGGCUCUCACACACACACUGUUACACACUGAGCUCAAAGCUCGGCUCCACUGUUUGAUUCAAAGAAAUCUACAUUUAUUUAUCAGCACAUUUAAAAACAGCUUGAGCCAAAGUGCUGCACAGAGUAGAGAUAAAAUAGGAAACAUACACAGUAAUUACUAUAAAGACUCGUCAGAAUUGAAAGCUACAGAGUACAAAUGUGUUUCCAACCGGGUUUUAAAAAUGUCGAGUGUUGGUGACGACCUGAUGUGAAGGGCGACUGUUCCAGAGUUUGGCUGCAGCCAUCGAUAAAGCUCACCUCUGUUUUUACGGCUAGUUCUGGUCAGAAGCUACUUAUCUGCAGACCUGAGGGCUCGACUUGGAUUAUUUUUGUUAAAGAGAGAUAAGAUGGAGCCAAUCCACUCAGAGAUUUAAAGACAAACAACAAGAUCUGGAAGUGGAUUCUACGACGUACUGGUAACCAGUGGGAAAAGCUGGAAAAAGCUGGUGUUGAGAUUAGGGAAAAUAUUUUGCUGCUAUUUUUAUAAUCAUCAUUACCAUUCCAUUAAUAACAGUAUUGAUAUUGCAUUCAGAUGUUCAAACAUCUAAAACUCAGUUUAUUGGAGAAGCAACAUGGCGCCUGUGUUCGGCUUGGCCGCUGUUGCUGCUCCGUGUUUUCGUCGACUGCUUCAGUAUAUUGUUUUUUAUCUUGUCAUCUCAUCCGUGAUAUAUCAUGAAGGUCUAUUUGCUACUCGGAUCUACAGUUCACAUACAUUGUUGAGUAUCAAAAUAUGUAUGGAAAAAACUUUUGACAGCUGGCAGAGCUACCACCAGGCUUUCCCUCCGCCGUUUGUCUGCCCCCCUCCCUCUCCCGACUACAGGUAUCUGUUCUUAGCUCCAAACAAUAACCCAGGAGCAAAAAUAAGGUUAAGGAGAUCGUGUAGAAGGGGCUGUAGGUCUGGUGUCCAGGCUAAAAGGAAACACGACCGACAGAGGGGAUUUCCUCCGCUCCAUGGUAGAGAACGUCUCCGGUAUUUGGUACCGGUUCCCCUGCAGGACGCGGAUAAGGCCGAUCGGUUACCGCCUACUCGGCUUUUCAUCACGGGCGAACAGAACGAUUACCUGGAUCGGUGUCUUGUCUGGAGAUGCGGGAUGUUUUCACCUUGGCCUUUCAUUCUACAAGACCACAGUUCCACAGCUAGGGGUACCGGGAGACUACGUCCUCUUUCCAGGUGUCUGCUGUCAAUUCCCCGUCAAUCAGCUGUUGAUGACGUCAGCCUGUCACCUCCGCUUCAGAUCGCUCUCCUAAACGCUCGCUCCAUAGCCAACAAAUCAUUUGUACUGAAUGACUUUUUUAGCAGUAAUAGUCUGGACUUCAUGUUUCUCACGGAAUCUUGGCAGCAGGAGAAUGAAUUUAUCCACCUUAAUGAGCUCUGCCCGGUCGGCUGUCGCUUCAUCGGGACUCCGCGCUUGGACCGUCGUGGUGGUGGUCUGGUCACCGUUCACCGAGACAAUCUCGCUUGCAGGACUAUGGACUCUGAGUUUUUCCCUUCCUUUGAGUCACAACUUCUUAAGGAAACAAACAGGAAGUGAUUGAAGGACACAGGAAAUGUUUCCAGCUCUUCCUACUCUAUCAGACAUUCUCUCCAUACCUGAGAGUGUCCAGUCUCCAGCCUUGAUCCUUC